GAGCCCUACGGGAGGCAGCAGUGGGGAAUAUUGGACAAUGGGGGGAACCCUGAUCCAGCGACGCCGCGUGAGUGAAGAAGUAUGUCGGUAUGUAAAGCUCUAUCAGCAGGGAAGAAAAUGACGGUACCUGACUAAGAAGCCCCGGCUAACUACGUGCCAGCAGCCGCGGUAAUACGUAGGGGGCAAGCGUUAUCCGGAUUUACUGGGUGUAAAGGGAGCGUAGACGGUGCAGCAAGUCUGAAGUGAAAUGCCGGGGCUUAACCCCGGAACUGCUUUGGAAACUGUGCAGCUAGAGUGCAGGAGAG
This 305-nucleotide ribosomal RNA is filed under the name uncultured bacterium. Its description in RNAcentral is "bacterial SSU rRNA". It matches the Rfam family "Bacterial small subunit ribosomal RNA", at positions 334 to 656 of the family's 1533-position model. The record is from RNAcentral.